Long non-coding RNA from Bolinopsis microptera, 437 nucleotides. RefSeq lists it as uncharacterized. Lineage: Eukaryota; Metazoa; Ctenophora; Tentaculata; Lobata; Bolinopsidae. The transcript is spliced from 2 exons. The record is from RefSeq and is a predicted model, not a curated record.
AUUUAAUUCAGAAAGCCAUCAUGGUUGAGAGUGUACUCCCCCCUAAAAAGCCUAUCCUGAGCCUGAUGGGCAGGAACCUCCCAAAGAACAUAACCAGUUUGAAGCCACUGGCUAUCUGGGGUCUAACAGCCACCUGUGCUGUGUGGUGGAUCUUCGACUACAAACCCUUCGUCAUGAGAAUCCCCUACUACAGAACCAAGUUUGAUCAUGAGAUCCCCACGGGACCUCUGCAUUGAGUUCCAGUCAACUGGUCAUUUGGUGGGUCGGACGAUGUGGCGUGGUCAGCUUCGGUUGUUAACUUAUUUAAAUCAUUGUACAUUAUUCUCGGACACAAACUUGCAUUGUAGGCAUUUUAUAAGCGCAGCUAAAUUAGUUAAUUGUAGUUUAAAUGAUACUGUUUGUUUCAUAUUACUAUUCCAUUGAGAUUUCCUGGUGAA